RNAcentral lists this transfer RNA (73 nucleotides) under Thermoleophilia bacterium. Its description in RNAcentral is "tRNA-Thr". It matches the Rfam family "tRNA". Rfam says of the family: Transfer RNA (tRNA) molecules are approximately 80 nucleotides in length. Their secondary structure includes four short double-helical elements and three loops (D, anti-codon, and T loops). RNAcentral also lists the same sequence under 2 other names. The record is from RNAcentral. Lineage: Bacteria; Bacillati; Actinomycetota; Thermoleophilia.
GCCGGAGUAGCUCAGCUGGCAGAGCACCUCUCUUGUAAAGAGGAUGCCGUGGGUUCGAGUCCCACCUCCGGCU